This 408-nucleotide ribosomal RNA is filed under the name uncultured Peyronellaea. Its description in RNAcentral is "eukaryotic LSU rRNA". The stretch from base 110 to 263 matches the Rfam family "5.8S ribosomal RNA". The record is from RNAcentral. Lineage: Eukaryota; Fungi; Ascomycota; Dothideomycetes; Pleosporales; Didymellaceae.
UUACCCAUGUCUUUUGAGUACCUUCGUUUCCUCGGCGGGUUCGCCCGCCGAUUGGACAAUUUAAACCAUUUGCAGUUGCAAUCAGCGUCUGAAAAAACAUAAUAGUUACAACUUUCAACAACGGAUCUCUUGGUUCUGGCAUCGAUGAAGAACGCAGCGAAAUGCGAUAAGUAGUGUGAAUUGCAGAAUUCAGUGAAUCAUCGAAUCUUUGAACGCACAUUGCGCCCCUUGGUAUUCCAUGGGGCAUGCCUGUUCGAGCGUCAUUUGUACCUUCAAGCUCUGCUUGGUGUUGGGUGUUUGUCUCGCCUCUGCGUGUAGACUCGCCUCAAAACAAUUGGCAGCCGGCGUAUUGAUUUCGGAGCGCAGUACAUCUCGCGCUUUGCACUCAGAACGACGACGUCCAAAAGU